UACGUAGGGUGCAAGCGUUGUCCGGAAUUAUUGGGCGUAAAGAGCUUGUAGGCGGUUUGUCGCGUCUGCUGUGAAAUUUCGGGGCUCAACCGCGAACUUGCAGUGGGUACGGGCAGACUAGAGUGUGGUAGGGGAGACUGGAAUUCCUGGUGUAGCGGUGAAAUGCGCAGAUAUCAGGAGGAACACCGAUGGCGAAGGCAGGUCUCUGGUCUGUAACUGACGCUGAGGAGCGAAAGCGUGGGGAGCGAACAGG
This 253-nucleotide ribosomal RNA is filed under the name uncultured bacterium. RNAcentral describes it as "partial 16S ribosomal RNA". It matches the Rfam family "Bacterial small subunit ribosomal RNA", at positions 524 to 776 of the family's 1533-position model. The record is from RNAcentral.